GACGAACGCUGGCGGCGUGCUUAACACAUGCAAGUCGAACGGUGAAGCGCCUUCCUUUUUGGUGGGUGUGGAUGAGUGGCGAACGGGUGAGUAACACGUGAGUAACCUGCCCCCUUCUUCUGGAUAACCGCAUGAAAGUGUGGCUAAUACGGGAUAUUCUGGGUCUGUCGCAUGAUGGGUCUGGGAAAGAUAUUGUUUCGGUGGGGGAUGGGCUCGCGGCCUAUCAGCUUGUUGGUGGGGUGAUGGCCUACCAAGGCGGUGACGGGUAGCCGGCCUGGGAGGGUGGACGGCCACACUGGGACUGAGACACGGCGCAGCCUACGACGGGAGGCAGCAGUGGGGAAUAUUGCACAAUGGGCGGAAGCCUGAUGCAGCGACGCCGCGGGAGGGAUGGAGGCCGUCGGGUUGUGAACCUCUUUCGCCAGUGAAGCAGGCCUGCCUCGUUUGUGGGUGGGUUGACGGUAGCUGGAGAAGAAGCGCCGGCUAACUACGUG
This 494-nucleotide ribosomal RNA is filed under the name uncultured bacterium. RNAcentral's name for it is "partial 16S ribosomal RNA". It matches the Rfam family "Bacterial small subunit ribosomal RNA", at positions 28 to 507 of the family's 1533-position model. The record is from RNAcentral.